UGCCAGCCGCCGCGGUAAUACGGAGGGGGUUAGCGUUGUUCGGAAUUACUGGGCGUAAAGCGCACGUAGGCGGACUAUUAAGUGAGGGGUGAAAUCCCAGGGCUCAACCCUGGAACUGCCUCUCAUACUGGUAGUCUUGAGUUCGAGAGAGGUGAGUGGAAUUCCGAGUGUAGAGGUGAAAUUCGUAGAUAUUCGGAGGAACACCAGUGGCGAAGGCAGUUCACUGGACCGUGAUCGACGCUGAGGAGCGAAAGCUAGGGGAGCAAACAGGAUUAGAUA
Molecule: ribosomal RNA, 279 nt
Filed under: uncultured bacterium
Lineage: Bacteria
Description: partial 16S ribosomal RNA
Rfam family: Bacterial small subunit ribosomal RNA
Source: RNAcentral